UGGGGUGUUUAGGAGCUUUCUGUAAUUCAUGUAAAACCAAACGAGAGAAACUCUUGUUCAAAAUGCAGGUGGAAACAAUUGUAACUCACGACUUGUCAUUGCUAAGCAAUUCAAGGAGUUGGGACCACCGGAGUUUUUGGGAAAGCCAGAGCCACUAAAGGCAGAGAUAUGGAUUAAGCAGAUUACUAAGAUAUUUGAUGUCUUGGGAUGCACUAAAGAGC
This 221-nucleotide long non-coding RNA is filed under the name Panax ginseng (ginseng). Its description in RNAcentral is "long non-coding RNA (PGIN_LNC010047)". The record is from RNAcentral. Lineage: Eukaryota; Viridiplantae; Streptophyta; Magnoliopsida; Apiales; Araliaceae.